Molecule: transfer RNA, 73 nt
Filed under: Stegodyphus mimosarum
Lineage: Eukaryota; Metazoa; Arthropoda; Arachnida; Araneae; Eresidae
Rfam family: tRNA
About the family: Transfer RNA (tRNA) molecules are approximately 80 nucleotides in length. Their secondary structure includes four short double-helical elements and three loops (D, anti-codon, and T loops). Further hydrogen bonds mediate the characteristic L-shaped molecular structure. tRNAs have two regions of fundamental functional importance: the anti-codon, which is responsible for specific mRNA codon recognition, and the 3' end, to which the tRNAs corresponding amino acid is attached (by aminoacyl-tRNA synthetases). tRNAs cope with the degeneracy of the genetic code in two manners: having more than one tRNA (with a specific anti-codon) for a particular amino acid; and 'wobble' base-pairing, i.e. permitting non-standard base-pairing at the 3rd anti-codon position.
Source: Rfam by way of RNAcentral
GCCUUCGUGGUGUAAUGGUCAGCACACUGAGCCGGUAUUUCAGAGGUCCGUGGUUCGAUUCCCGACAAAGGCA